Pelobates cultripes (western spadefoot toad) is the source of this 295-nucleotide non-coding RNA. NCBI's taxonomy places the organism in Eukaryota, Metazoa, Chordata, Amphibia, Anura, Pelobatidae. The record is from the annotation of a GenBank genome assembly.
CAAAAGUUGAUUACAGAAGAUCAGCCUUUUGUCAACUUUUCUGACCUUAAAUUUCCGCACUCAACUUGAGUAUUUUAUAAAGGUAAUGUAACUGCUUUUAUCGUUAAGUCAAGUGGCAUCUGUAUGUGUUGGAGAGUACCCUCCCUCUUUCCAUGUAAAUUAAGUGUUAGUCUCUGUAGUCUCAGUCUAAAAGUAGACAGGUUUGUACUUUGCAAAUCUAAAUGCUCAGUGUUUCUGCACACAUUCCAUGGAAAUAUUCAUUGAACAAGCAAAGGACUGGAGCUUUGAAUAGGGG